Molecule: RNA transcript, 751 nt
Organism: Theobroma cacao (cacao)
Lineage: Eukaryota; Viridiplantae; Streptophyta; Magnoliopsida; Malvales; Malvaceae
Gene name: protein NONRESPONDING TO OXYLIPINS 2, mitochondrial-like
Source: RefSeq, a predicted model, not a curated record
UAAACCCUAACCAAAAACCUUACUCAUUCGGCUUGCUCUCUCCCUCUCGAUCACGAUUCACUGGAAAAAUGGCUUGGCGCAGUGCAGGAUCCCUCUCUCGCUCCGUCAUGUCCGCCGCCAGGGCUCCUUUGCUCCGCACCCCUCCGCCGCUGCCCCGCCUCCGUCCCCCGACUUCCUCUGCACCCCGCCUCCAGUCCCGCCGCCCCUCCUUGGCCCCUUCCAGGAAUUUUGGAGAAUUGGGAUGUGUUCAAUCAUUCUUGCCUCUGCAUAGCAUGGUGGCCACAGCCCGUCUUACUUCACACCUAACUGUUAAUGUGCGGGCUUGUUGCGAGCUGUCUCAUGGUACCGUCCGCCGUACUUGUCAGGAUCGCUAGUAGUCUCUUUGGAGGAAUGGAAAAGAUGGGUGAUGCACGUGGACUUUCAAUCAGCUAAAGGAGAGAGAAUGAUUCCACAUCGUACUUGAAAGGGCCAUGGAUUAGCGCAGCUGAGUGCAACACCCAAUUGAGGGAGUCAGAGAUUAGUUUUGUCCUGUGGGAGUCAAGAGGUAGGUUUUCUGAGUAGAAAAUCCUAAUAAAAACAUGUCGUCUUUUAUGCUGUUGCCAGGAAGAAACCUGUAAUUUUCUUAUAUGGUGACCCUGUAGGCACUUUAAUUGCUCAUUUUGACCAAUUCCUUUGGAUUGUGAGUAGUUUUGUGAUGAAUGGUGUUGAUAGCUUUGACAUAAUUUUAUUUGGUAAGUUUAUACGGUGACGA